Molecule: ribosomal RNA, 462 nt
Filed under: uncultured bacterium
Lineage: Bacteria
Description: bacterial SSU rRNA
Rfam family: Bacterial small subunit ribosomal RNA
Source: RNAcentral
UUACGGGAGGCAGCAGUGGGGAAUUUUGCGCAAUGGGCGAAAGCCUGACGCAGCAACGCCGCGUGUGUGAUGAAGGUCUUCGGAUUGUAAAGCACUUUCGACCGGGACGAAAACCCUCUGGCUAACAUCCAGGGGCUUGACGGUACCGGGAGAAGAAGCACCGGCUAACUCUGUGCCAGCAGCCGCGGUAAUACAGAGGGUGCAAGCGUUGUUCGGAAUUAUUGGGCGUAAAGCGCGUGUAGGCGGCUUUGCAAGUCGGGUGUGAAAGCCCUCAGCUCAACUGAGGAAGUGCGCCCGAAACUGCAGAGCUUGAGUGCCGGAGAGGGUGGCGGAAUUCCCCAAGUAGAGGUGAAAUUCGUAGAUAUGGGGAGGAACACCGGUGGCGAAGGCGGCCACCUGGACGGUAACUGACGCUGAGACGCGAAAGCGUGGGGAGCAAACAGGCUUAGAUACCCCGGUAGA